UCCGGUUUAACACCGGCGGUCUCGCUAGAGUCCCCGCCAUUACGCGCUGGCAACUAGCGAUAGGGGUUGCGCUCGUUAAGGGACUUAACCCGACACUUCACAGCACGAGCUGACGACAGCCAUGCAGCACCUGUGCACGUUCCACCCGAAGGUGUGGCCCGCCUUUCGGCGGGUUAAUCCGUGCAUGUCAAACCCAGGAUAAGGUUCUUCGCGUUGCUUCGAAUUAAGCCACAUGCUCCACCGCUUGUGUGAGCCCCCGUCAAUUCCUUUGAGUUUUAGCCUUGCGACCGUACUCCCCAGGCGGUGCACUUAACACUUUUGCUUCGACCGAGAGUGGUGUCAGAACCCCCUCGAUCUAGUGCACAUCGUUUACGGCGUGGACUAC
This 385-nucleotide unclassified non-coding RNA is filed under the name uncultured Phycisphaeraceae bacterium. RNAcentral describes it as "contains 16S-23S intergenic spacer region". Lineage: Bacteria; Pseudomonadati; Planctomycetota; Phycisphaerae; Phycisphaerales; Phycisphaeraceae. The record is from RNAcentral.